GAGUUUGAUCCUGGCUCAGGAUGAACGCUAGCGGCAGGCUUAACACAUGCAAGUCGAGGGGCAGCGCGGGUAGCAAUAUCGUGGCGGCGACCGGCGAAAGGGUGAGUAACGCGUGAGCAACAUGCCCGAUACUGGGGGAUAGUCGAUGGAAACGUCGCGUAAUACCCCGUAACACAGGAGGUCGCAUGACCUUCUGUUGAAAGAUUCAUUGGUAUCGGAUUGGCUCGCGUACCAUUAGCUAGUUGGCGGGGUAACGGCCCACCAAGGCGACGAUGGUUAGGGGUUCUGAGAGGAAGGUCCCCACAUUGGAACUGAGACACGGUCCAGACUCCUACGGGAGGCAGCAGUGAGGAAUAUUGGUCAAUGGCCGAGAGGCUGAACCAGCCAUGCCGCGUGCGGGAGGACGGCCCUAUGGGUUGUAAACCGCUUUUUGAGGGAGCAAUAAGGCGUACGUGUACGCUGAUGAGAGUACCUUGAGAAUAAGCAUCGGCUAACUCCGUGCC
This 503-nucleotide ribosomal RNA is filed under the name uncultured bacterium. Its description in RNAcentral is "bacterial SSU rRNA". It matches the Rfam family "Bacterial small subunit ribosomal RNA", at positions 9 to 509 of the family's 1533-position model. The record is from RNAcentral.